RNAcentral lists this ribosomal RNA (376 nucleotides) under uncultured bacterium. RNAcentral's name for it is "bacterial SSU rRNA". It matches the Rfam family "Bacterial small subunit ribosomal RNA", at positions 524 to 898 of the family's 1533-position model. The record is from RNAcentral.
UACGAGGGGGGCAAGCGUUGUUCGGAAUUAUUGGGCGUAAAGGGUGCGUAGGUGGUUCGGCAAGUCUUGUGUGAAAUCUUCAGGCUCAACUUGAAGUCUGCACAAGAAACUGCCGGGCUUGAGUAUGGGAGAGGUGAGUGGAAUUUCCGGUGUAGCGGUGAAAUGCGUAGAUAUCGGAAGGAACACCUGUGGCGAAAGCGGCUCACUGGACCAUUACUGACACUGAGGCACGAAAGCUAGGGGAGCAAACAGGAUUAGAUACCCUGGUAGUCCUAGCCCUAAACGAUGAUCGCUUGGUGUGGCGGGUAUCCAACCCUGCCGUGCCGAAGCUAACGCGUUAAGCGAUCCGCCUGGGGAGUACGGUCGCAAGGCUGAA